RNAcentral lists this transfer RNA (71 nucleotides) under Fukomys damarensis (Damara mole-rat). It matches the Rfam family "tRNA". Rfam says of the family: Transfer RNA (tRNA) molecules are approximately 80 nucleotides in length. Their secondary structure includes four short double-helical elements and three loops (D, anti-codon, and T loops). Lineage: Eukaryota; Metazoa; Chordata; Mammalia; Rodentia; Bathyergidae. The record is from Rfam by way of RNAcentral.
GGGAAUGUAGCUCAGCAGUACAGCUCCUGCCUGGCAAUCGCAGGCUCUGAGUUCAAUUCUCAGUACUCCCC